This 1160-nucleotide long non-coding RNA is filed under the name Monodelphis domestica (gray short-tailed opossum). RNAcentral describes it as "lncRNA (ENSMODG00000046656.1)". Lineage: Eukaryota; Metazoa; Chordata; Mammalia; Didelphimorphia; Didelphidae. The record is from RNAcentral.
AUGCCCAAAAGCCUCUGGGGGGGCGCCAGUCCUUCUAGGGUUAGAAUGAACCUGUUGCACUGUCCAAAGACCAGUAGAGCCACCACCACAAGUGGCUGGCGUGGCAAAUGCCUCGGGGCUUCUGGGCAUCAACUUUGGCAGGAGGCCAAGCCUGGGCGCAGCACUCCGGGCCUUCUUCGCACCUUUGGGCCCUUUCUUAUCACAUCCUCGGCCUCCCCUGCCCAGGGUGGGCCUCCUGCCCCCAGCAUCCAAAGAGCAUCCCCAGCCAAGGCAGUGAGUGGGAGAGAUGACAGGGCCACAGCGGGAGCCCCCAGGAGCUCUCAGGCUCAUGGGGGAGAUGGCAGGGCCACAGAGGGGGUCUCAAGCUCAUGGGGGAGAUGGCAGGGCUACAGAGGGAGCCUCUGGGCUAACAGGAGUCAAGCAAGACCCAAGGAGGUAGCAAAGGGCGGUAAAGAACUGCAGUCUCACAGGAGGAGGGGGAGCAUCUCACUACAAACUCUGCUGUGAGGCAGGGGGAUCUGUGCAGACAGAGGCCCGAAGGCUCUGCCAGGGCUGAGCCUUCUCCCUAACAGGGGUGUCAGGGUGCCCAGGGUCAGCCCAGGAGGUCCCGGGGUCAAAUACAACCUCAGAUACUGGUUGUGUGACCCUGGCCGAGGUCUGCCUCAGUUUCCUCAUCUGUUGAAGGGGGGAGAUAAGGAAGUGGCAGGCCAGAGUCAGUGCCCAGAAGAGCCCAGCGGGAGCACCAGGAAGUAUUGGUUCCGCUUUUUGGCAGCCACUUGCAGGAGCCCCCGAGAGAAGUGGCAGCGGGAAGGAGGCGCCUGCCCCCCCCCCAGUGCCCCCAGGGCCACACCCGGCUCCCGCUGCCCCCAGUGCUAGUCAGCCCCUGCGCUCUGCCAUUCUCCACUCCAGUGCCGACGGGCCCGGGGCCAUCCCCUCAACCCUGGUCCACUCGGGCGGCAGCACCGGGCCUGGCGGAGCCCAAACACGGGUCGUCCUGCGCCCCCUCAUUUCCGGGCCCCAGGAGGCCCGGAAGGGGUGGGGCAGAGCAAGCUGCCCAGAGUGAUGUCAGUGUCUGCGCCGGGAUGAGAACCCGCCACUGCCAGAGAGCGGGCUAGCGAGCCAGGCCGGGGUGGGGGUGGGGGUGGGGGUACCGUCCUCCU